AUUGAACGCUGGCGGCAGGCCUAACACAUGCAAGUCGAACGGUAGCACAGAGAGCUUGCUCUCGGGUGACGAGUGGCGGACGGGUGAGUAACGUCUGGGAAACUGCCCGAUGGAGGGGGAUAACUACUGGAAACGGUAGCUAAUACCGCAUAACGUCGCAAGACCAAAGUGGGGGACCUUCGGGCCUCCCACCAACGGAUGUGCCCAGAUGGGAUUAGCUAGUAGGUGGGGUAAUGGCUCACCUAGGCGACGAUCCCUAGCUGGUCGGAGAGGAUGACCAGCCACACUGGAACUGAGACACGGUCCAGACUCCUACGGGAGGCAGCAGUGGGGAAUAUUGCACAAUGGGCGCAAGCCUGAUGCAGCCAUGCCGCGUGUAUGAAGAAGGCCUUCGGGUUGUAAAGUACUUUCAGCGGGGAGGAAGGCGGUGAAGUUAAUAACUUCACCGAUUGACGUUACCCGCAGAAGAAGCACCGGCUAACUCCGUGCCAGCCGCCGCGGUAA
Molecule: ribosomal RNA, 504 nt
Filed under: uncultured bacterium
Lineage: Bacteria
Description: partial 16S ribosomal RNA
Rfam family: Bacterial small subunit ribosomal RNA
Source: RNAcentral